ACGUAGGGACCAAGCGUUGUUCGGAUUUACUGGGCGUAAAGGGCGCGUAGGCGGCGCGGUAAGUCACUUGUGAAAUCUCUGAGCUUAACUCAGAACGGCCAAGUGAUACUGCAGUGCUAGAGUGUGGAAGGGGCAAUCGGAAUUCUUGGUGUAGCGGUGAAAUGCGUAGAUAUCCGGAGGAACACCAGAGGCGAAGGCGGCCUACUGGGCUGCACCUGACGCUGAGCCGCGAAAGCCAGGGGAGCGAACGGGA
RNAcentral lists this ribosomal RNA (253 nucleotides) under uncultured prokaryote. Its description in RNAcentral is "partial 16S ribosomal RNA". It matches the Rfam family "Bacterial small subunit ribosomal RNA", at positions 525 to 777 of the family's 1533-position model. The record is from RNAcentral.